This 59-nucleotide transfer RNA is filed under the name Cemus sauteri. RNAcentral's name for it is "tRNA-His". Lineage: Eukaryota; Metazoa; Arthropoda; Insecta; Hemiptera; Delphacidae. The record is from RNAcentral.
AUUAUAUUAGUUUAACUAAAAUAUUAUUUUGUGAUAAUAAUGAUCUUAUUGAUAUAAUA